GCUCAACAAGUACUCUAUUUCACUAACCUUACAGACUCUAGAAUCUACUCGUUAGCUUUGGGUUGGGGUGACCGCGGAGAAAAACUUAACCUCCAUAAUGAAAAGAAUAAAAUCCUAAUCUAUGAGCCCACACCUCUAAGAAUCAACAAAUUGGCAUAAAAUGACCCGAUACUUCGAUCAAUGAACCAAGUUACCCUGGGGAUAACAGCGCCAUCCACUUCAAGAGCCCAUAUCGACAAGUGGGUUUACGACCUCGAUGUUGGAUCAGGGUGUCCCAGUGGUGCAGCCGCUACUAAAGGUUCGUUUGUUCAACGAUUAAAACCCUACGU
This 329-nucleotide ribosomal RNA is filed under the name Ptychadena nilotica. Its description in RNAcentral is "partial large subunit ribosomal RNA". It matches the Rfam family "Bacterial large subunit ribosomal RNA", at positions 2208 to 2601 of the family's 2925-position model. The record is from RNAcentral. Lineage: Eukaryota; Metazoa; Chordata; Amphibia; Anura; Ptychadenidae.